RNAcentral lists this ribosomal RNA (278 nucleotides) under uncultured bacterium. RNAcentral describes it as "partial 16S ribosomal RNA". It matches the Rfam family "Bacterial small subunit ribosomal RNA", at positions 506 to 784 of the family's 1533-position model. The record is from RNAcentral.
UGCCAGCAGCCGCGGUAAUACGGAGGGGGUUAGCGUUGUUCGGAAUUACUGGGCGUAAAGCGCACGUAGGCGGAUUAGAAAGUAGGGGUGAAAUCCCAGGGCUCAACCCUGGAACUGCCUCUAAAACUCCCAGUCUUGAGUUCGAGAGAGGUGAGUGGAAUUCCGAGUGUAGAGGUGGAAUUCGUAGAUAUUCGGAGGAACACCAGUGGCGAAGGCGGCUCACUGGCUCGAUACUGACGCUGAGGUACGAAAGUGUGGGGAGCAAACAGGAUUAGAUA